This is a long non-coding RNA of Ostrea edulis (European flat oyster), 2265 nucleotides long. RefSeq lists it as uncharacterized. The transcript is spliced from 2 exons. Lineage: Eukaryota; Metazoa; Mollusca; Bivalvia; Ostreida; Ostreidae. The record is from RefSeq and is a predicted model, not a curated record.
AAUAAAGAAAAUUCAACCUAAGGUUUCGGAUAUUUUAUAAAAUAGUAUGUUUUAUGUAAAUGUUCCUAGUGUGUAUCAAAAAAACACAAAAUAAACAUGUCAGUAUGGCUUAAGCUAAGGGAGCUCAAGGGAACGAAGUUCUCUAUCACAGGCGAGGCGAACAGGGGGGUACAGUUCCCUCUCAUACGAGGCGCCUAUGUAUACCUGUACUUCUCUUUCAUAGGUGGGGCGAACAAUAGGUGGGGCAAACAAUAAGUUUGGUUGGUUGUUUAUUGUCUAACGUCCCGCUAGAGAAUUUUUUUUACUCAUAUGGAGACGUCACCAUAGCCGGUGAAGGGCUGCUUUAGGCGCUUGUGAACGGCCUUUGAGCAAGGGGAUCUUUAUCGUGCCAUACCUGCCUCAAAACAGGGCCUCGUUUGUUGUUGUUUUUUUGUUGUGUUUUUUUUUGGGGGGGGGGGGGUUGUUUUUUUUGUUUUUUGUUGUUGUUUUUUUUUUUUGGUUUGUUUUUUUUAUUUUAGUCUCAUCCGAAGGGCCGUCCCAUUUAGUGGCCUCUUACGACAAACAAGGGGUACUAAGGAUCUACGAGGUGAACGGGAAGAGCACAACUCACUCUUGUAAGUGGGGAGAACGGGAGGGAGUAUAGCCCCUAUUACACCCCCUCCCCAAACACGUGCUUCUCGGAUACCUAAAUACGAUGCUUAGAUAUUUUUUGUAAAUCUGUACAGAGUUUUUUAGUAUAUUUCACUCGGCCCCACCCCUAUUCCCCUCCUACAAGUGCCCCUAUUUUUCUACAUCCUCGGUCGUAUUUGGGUAAUUCCUUGAAUGUAAACAAUAAACAUCAAACACGUGCAGAGAGCAUGUGAUGAAGCACAGAGGAAGCUCCGAAGUUUGGGAAUUCAAAUAGAGAAAAGUGUCAUUCUUCAAUAAUUUGCUUUCACUUUCCUUUGUGGAGAGAGAGAGACACGGACAGAGAGACACACACAGAGAGAGAGAGAGAGAGAGAGAGAGAGAGAGAGAGAGAGAGAGAGAGAGAGAGAGAGAGAGAGAAGAGAGACAGACAGACAGAGAGAGGGGGACAGACAGACAGAGAGAGACAGGACAGACACAGAGAGAGAGACAGACAGACAGACAGAGAGAGACAGACACACAGAGAGAGAGAUAGACAGACAGAGGCAGGACAGACAGACAGACAGAGAGAGAGAGAGAAACAGACAGAGAGGGGGGCAGAGAGAGAGAGAGAGAGAGAGAGAGAGAGAGAGAGAGAGAGAGAGAGGACAGAGAGAGAGAGAGACAGGACAGACACAGAGAGAGACAGAGAGAGAGACAGACAGACACACAGAGAGAGAGACAGAGAGAGAGAGAGAGAGAUCUACAGUAAAUGAAUAUAUACAAUGUGUAUAUGUUUUUAUGGCAUGCACAUCUGUCACCCCUCUAAAUCCCACAGCAUAACUACCUGAUAGUGAUUUAUCGUAACAUAUAUAUGAUUAUAGCAUUUGAAUUUAUCAAUUUUUACUAACGCGCGUGCAUGUACAUGUUUAAGUCUAUAAUGAACUAACCCCUAAAUUAUGCAGGGUUUUUUUUUUAAAUGUUCAAUGACACCUGGUGCCCGUACACUUACUGCAUAAUGAGUUACUCGCUAUACACCUGAUGAAUAGAAAUGAAACCGGUUAAAUUCUGCGUUAUGAAUGUAUACAAAUGUUUAUUAUUUAAAAUCGAAUUCUUAUUUUCUAAAAAAUGAAGAAGAAAAAAGAAGAUAAGUUAAAGACUAUACAGAUUUAAAGAAUGAAAGAGGGUGGCAUCAUUGUGAAAUGUGUACUGUACAUGGAAUAUGCCCAUUGUACUGCUCGCAGAAUGUCUAGUUAAAACUAGACCAAGCCAGUUUAAUACUCUAGGUGCUUCAAUCCAUCGCGGAUCGAUCUGUCAAUCGGUGGCGGAUCAUAGAACACGAUAAAUGAUUUGAAGAAGGAAACAUAAUCUGUUGGAGAGAGUGAGGAUUACUGCAAUACGAUGGGUGUUAUAUCCUUCCUAAUUUACCAGUAUGAAAUCAAUAAUCUCGUUUUAUAAGGCCUGUGUGCAAAUACUCACGCACAAAACAAUUACAUCAGUUUAAUAAACAAAAGAAAUUCAAGCCGUUAACAAAUAUUCAGCAUUAUUAAGAGACAACAAAAUUACAGAUGUUGGUACUUAUUUGUUUAAAUACUCACGAAAUAUAGCCAUUGCAGCCUCCGUAGGGCUCAGUCACGUUGUGAAACUAUAAACUACAAC